Molecule: unclassified non-coding RNA, 663 nt
Filed under: Hevea brasiliensis (rubber tree)
Lineage: Eukaryota; Viridiplantae; Streptophyta; Magnoliopsida; Malpighiales; Euphorbiaceae
Source: RNAcentral
CGAUGAAGGUUCAAGAGGGGCAAGGAAAAGCUAGAGAUGAGAACUGAGUGGAAGAUUCAAGAGUGCCUCUGGUUCUCUUUUAUUGUCUUAAUGCUUUUCAUCAUUGCAAGUGAUUCUAUUGCAGAGCCUCUACAAAGCAACAAUUACUGCUUUGGCAAUGCCACGACUGGUGAAUUUCACGAAGAAACAUUCAUUGUCGAAUCCGAUAUGCGUCCAAGUCCCCCCAUGAUUAGUUAUGAUAGUUUUAGAAGGCAAGCAAUUUGCAAGGGGAAUAUAUAUGGGAAUUGCUUAGGACAAUCGUUGACGAAGGGGCCGCCUAAGCGGUCUUGUACUUACUACACUAAAUGCAGAAUAGACUAGGAAUUAAGGAGAUGCGCGAGGAGGCAAAGGUUCGCACUUCUGUUCUAUAGUGUAAUCCCUACAAUAAAUGCUGAAUAAUCUCAUUUGCCUCCCUUUCAUUCUUCAACUUGAGUUUCUUUAGUUUAUUCUUUUUACCCUUCUCAUGUUCUGUAUUGUUAAACUUAUAACCCAAAACAAAUUGUUUAAUUAAGUCCAAUAUGUAGUGUGAAAGCACAAGAUGAUACAACGGGUACCAGUUUUAGCACCGAGCACUAAGCGAAUAUUUUACGAAGCUAUUUCAUUGUCUUCUGGUGCUUGAUUGGG